AUAGUGUGACAGAGCCAUGGAUCACUGAUGACAGUACUGCACAAGGAAGAGAGAGUAUCAAAUGGAAUGUGCAAGGGCAAACUAAAUUAGUUGGCUUUCUUUUCCAUUAUUAAAACUUUUUCCCACACAGUUAGGGGUGACAUUCCUGCAAAGAGUUUAGCUUCUGAACACCUUUAGAGCAUAGCUGAGAAGUUCACAACCAAUGACAAAAUGGAGGCUAGUAUGCUGCUAGACAAACUGAAUUCCUGCGUUUAGAAAUAUUACAUAUGCACUGAGUUGGGAGCAUACACACUUUUAGAUUAACAAACGCCUCCUGCAAUUUACUAUAUAUCUAUUGAGUGAUUACUGUUUAUUUUCACUGUUCAUCUACAGUAAAAAAACAGUUUUGGGCUCGGGCUGCAUUUCGUCGCUUUGUAUAUCUCUCUCUCGAUCUCUCUCGAUCUCUCUCGACCUCUCUCGAUCUCUCUCGACCUCUCUCGCCGCUUUGUAUAUCUUUUUCUUGAUGUCUCUCUAUCUCAUUCAGCCACUUCCACCUUUCUUCCUCUCUCUCGAUCUCAAGCUCUCCUUCCUUCUUUUUCGUCACUUCUUUCAUCUCUUGGACGUACACCAGACUGAAAGAGAGAGGGAGACCAAAGACUGAAAGAGAGAGUUUGGCUAAGCAUCCUGGGUUUUUGAUGAAUUCAGGUUUGGAUCAGAGAAAGACGGAGAGAGGGAGGGCAGAGGUGGUGCUUUCGGUCGAGUACCCAACAAAGCUCUGAAGGGAGAUUUUAUCAACACCAAGAAAGGUUUUUCCUUUGGUCAUCCAAAGCCUAGAGAACAGAUUAAGGAGCUUGG
RNA transcript from Fragaria vesca subsp. vesca, 834 nucleotides. RefSeq lists it as uncharacterized. The transcript has 3 exons. The record is from RefSeq and is a predicted model, not a curated record. Lineage: Eukaryota; Viridiplantae; Streptophyta; Magnoliopsida; Rosales; Rosaceae.